AGUGAACGCCGGCGGUAGGCCUAACACAUGCAAGUCGAACGGCAGCACAGGAGAGCUUGCUCUCUGGGUGGCGAGUGGCGGACGGGUGAGGAAUACAUCGGAAUCUACUUUUUCGUGGGGGAUAACGUAGGGAAACUUACGCUAAUACCGCAUACGACCUACGGGUGAAAGCAGGGGACCUUCGGGCCUUGCGCGAUUGAAUGAGCCGAUGUCGGAUUAGCUAGUUGGCGGGGUAAAGGCCCACCAAGGCGACGAUCCGUAGCUGGUCUGAGAGGAUGAUCAGCCACACUGGAACUGAGACACGGUCCAGACUCCUACGGGAGGCAGCAGUGGGGAAUAGUGGACAAUGGGCGCAAGCCUGAUCCAGCCAUACCGCGUGGGUGAAGAAGGCCUUCGGGUUGUAAAGCCCUUUUGUUGGGAAAGAAAUCCAGCUGGCUAAUACCCGGUUGGGAUGACGGUACCCAAAGAAUAAGCACCGGCUAACUUCGUGCCAGCCGCCGCGGUAA
This 506-nucleotide ribosomal RNA is filed under the name uncultured bacterium. RNAcentral describes it as "partial 16S ribosomal RNA". It matches the Rfam family "Bacterial small subunit ribosomal RNA", at positions 29 to 523 of the family's 1533-position model. The record is from RNAcentral.